Molecule: long non-coding RNA, 1243 nt
Filed under: Cucumis sativus (cucumber)
Lineage: Eukaryota; Viridiplantae; Streptophyta; Magnoliopsida; Cucurbitales; Cucurbitaceae
Description: long non-coding RNA (CSAT_LNC002031)
Source: RNAcentral
CCCUUUGAUAGUUUUUUAUAUCUGUCUGAUAGCACCAUGAUAUUUUUUUAUAUAUGUCUGAUAGCACUAUGAUAUAUCAAAUUAGUAUGUGAUGGAUACAUAUGUGUUGUUUUAAAUUUGGGAGCUCUCUAAUAGAUUUUUAAAUAUGUCUAAUAGUCGUAUGAUAUAUCUAAUUAGUUUGUGAUACAUCUUUGAUACAUAUAUGUUUCUAAGUUUGGGUAGCCCUCUGCUUUUUGAUUACUUCUACAAUACCAUCUUCUACUUUUUGACCACCAUGUAAUUACAAAAAAGUCUUCACAAGAAGAUAAGUCAUCUGAAUCAGUAGAACAUUAAUGACCAAAAUGAAAAGUAAAGCCAACACCCAAGGGCUAUUGCUUUGAAAACUGGAAAGAAACACAAAUCUCCCCAAAGAAAAGAAAAGUAAAGCCAACACUCAAAAUUGAAUACGAAAUCGUAAACGAAAAGAAGAAAGAAGAUGCUGAAAUCAAAAUCAUCGAACACAAAAAAAGAAGAAAAUAUUACGAAAUCAAAAUCCUCACAAGGUUUAUGAUACACACCUCAUUCUUUAUAUUAGAAUAUUAGUGACAAUUGAUCGAAACACUUAAAUUUAAAUGUGUUAUUUGAUUCCUUCAUCACCUACCGAUUAUUUGCACUAUUCAAGAAUAGAGAUACAGCAGCUACAAAUUGUAUCAAUUACAGGAUGAUCCGUCGAUUGAAUCACAAAGAGGGUAGCACCAACAUACCAGAUACAUAGUCAUGGAUGAAGUUGAUAAAACAAAAAUUCAAGUGUACUAAAUUUAGCAUAAAAAUUGAAAUUAGAAUGAAGUUGAAACUUAAAUUAGUGUAGAAGGAAAAAGCUGAAACAAAUAAAAUUGAAAUUAGAACCUUAUUUUUGUGGGAAUGAAGUCGAAGAAUAAAAAAAUCUUGGAGUAGAAAAAAUUGGUGAAAUAUUGAAGCGUUGGAUGCUUCGAAAUCUUGGAGUUAGAUGAGUCGAAAUCUUGGAGCUUGUCAAAAUCUUUGUCAAUGUUCUAGGGUUGAGAAACAAAGAAGAAAAAAAUUGGGGAAACAUAGCGAAGAAGAAUGAGGAGUGGCAGUGGCGGUCGUAGCAGUGGACCGAGGAGAAGAACGAGAAGUGGAGUUGGUGGAGACGUCGUACAUGAGUGAGGAAUUAAGAGUGGGGUUGGCCGGGUGAGACGACUGAGUGAGUGAAGAAGAUGAGAGAGAAUCUAAAUUUGGUUGUGGG